CGCGGGGUGGAGCAGUCUGGUAGCUCGUUGGGCUCAUAACCCAAAGGUCGGAGGUUCGAAUCCUUCCCCCGCUA
Molecule: transfer RNA, 74 nt
Filed under: bacterium
Lineage: Bacteria
Also listed under: 3 other names
Description: tRNA-Met
Rfam family: tRNA
About the family: Transfer RNA (tRNA) molecules are approximately 80 nucleotides in length. Their secondary structure includes four short double-helical elements and three loops (D, anti-codon, and T loops).
Source: RNAcentral